Molecule: ribosomal RNA, 250 nt
Filed under: uncultured bacterium
Lineage: Bacteria
Description: partial 16S ribosomal RNA
Rfam family: Bacterial small subunit ribosomal RNA
Source: RNAcentral
UACGGAGGAGGCAAGCGUUAUCCGGAAUUAUUGGGCGUAAAGCGUCCGUAGGUGGUUGGACAAGUCUUCUGUUAAAGGGUGGGGCUUAACCCCAUAAAAGCGGGAGAAACUGUUUGGCUAGAGUGCGACAGGGGCAAGGGGAAUUCCCAGUGUAGCGGUGAAAUGCGUAGAGAUUGGGAAGAACACCGGUGGCGAAAGCGCCUUGCUGGGUCUGCACUGACACUGAGGGACGAAAGCUAGGGGAGCGAAA